Microcebus murinus (gray mouse lemur) is the source of this 2706-nucleotide non-coding RNA. The record is from RefSeq and is a predicted model, not a curated record. Lineage: Eukaryota; Metazoa; Chordata; Mammalia; Primates; Cheirogaleidae.
CGCCAUCUUCCCAUUUUCUAGCAGAGCGCUUGACAGAGCGGGAGCACUCAAUAACUCUGCCAGCUAAUUUCUCACUAAGACUAAAGCAGAGCAAGAGCACGUUGAACAAGUGAAGCCAAUUCCACGUUUGGAAGCAGCUUCCAUUCCUCUCCUGUGCACCAGCCUCAUACGUGGAAGUUCUCUCUGGUCUUCUACGCUGCCACACAGCUUUCUCCUGAGCACCCCAUGGACUUUCAUGGAAAAGAGCCCAUGGGUAGAUACCCAGCAGUGGAAUUGUUGGAUUGAAUGAUGCACGUGUCAAUUUAAUGACUGUGGAAUUCCUUGAAACUGGUGGAAAAUCCUGUGCACACACCAUCUCUUCAUGGUGACGGCGUAGCAAGGGGCUGUUAUUUAGUGGAGACCGUGAGUCUUCCUGCGGCAGUAAAGGUUUAUCACACAACAUAGUCGAAUAACAUGGUGCUCCGCACACAAUGCUGCAGAGACGUGGCCCGGAGUUACAGGAGCGGCUCAAGCAGAUUCAGAGGUAUGAAUCCAGGAUUUUGGAAGGCUGACACUUUUAUAACUUUUGGAGACCACUUUAAGAAAAAGAAUGCAAGCAUUAUAAAUGCUAGGUCUGCUUCUGAGGAAUGAAAUUUUGGAGUGGAAGAUGACAUUCCACCUGUUUAGGAUGUAUGAUAGCAUUUUCUUUUAUCAAAAUCUAUUGCAAAGUUCAUCUGUUAAUGACAAUUUGUGAUAUUUUAUAUAUGUGUCAUCUUAAAAAUGUCUCUUCACAUAAAUCCUGCCCAAUACUGAUUCCAAACCUGAAGCAAAUUCUUUUAAUUAAACAUAUUCAUCUCCUGAAUGCAUUUACAGAAUCCCAUUAGAUUUUGUUCUCGAUAUUUGCUUUUAAGCACACCAUUAUAUUGUGUGUUAUCACUUCCAGUUGACAGUUGGGUGGAAGCUUCUCAAUGACAUAAUUAAAACGGAUUUGGAAAUACGGAAAUUCCCUUUGUAUUUACGUCAAGGUAUGACGCUGCUAGAGCUUGGUUUGGGUUUGGAAGGUUCACUGGGCACAAAACUGUGGAUGAGGAAUGAGGAUCUCGCUUCAUGUUUUAUCUUUUGGCAAAACAGGUAGUGGCUAAAGCAUCUUGACAAUACCUGUGAUCCACACGAUGUUAACUGCUGUCGAAAUGGCUUUGUCACAGUUUGUUUCACAAUUACCUGCUGUUUUGCCUUGUAGUUUUAGUUUGAACUCAAGGAAUAGCAAGUCUGCAGCAAAAGCUAAUUCGGUGCUAUUUAGGGUCCGAUAAUAGUGGUUGAGGGCAUUUCUCCCCUUAUGGAGAAAUUUCAGUGUCUGCCCUGAGCUCAAAGUAUUGCAAUAAAACUUUACUACAGCUAAGCUGUCGAACUGCUGUGUGACAGAGAAAGUCAGGAUAUUCAGCUCCAGUUCCAGCCGGAAAUUCACAGAACUGAGGAUGGUUGAGUCCAUGAGAGAGAGUAGAGUUCACUGCUGACACAACUGAUUCAAUGACACACAACAGAUUCCAGUGUUUUCCCCAAGCAGCUACUGGUGAAUAGUAAAGUAGGCAUCGAUGGGCUUUUAACCUGUUAGCAUUUCACAAGUUUUGCAGAUUUUCUGUUUGAUGUAUUAAUAUAUCUUUUCCACCAUCAGUUGUACAAGCAUAUUCCAUUUCAGGCUAUGCUGGAUUCAUGCCUUCUUCACUUCUCUAAAAAAAAUAAACUCAUCUCCCCUGUUCCACGCACGCCAUGCUAGAGGUUAAUUCUACAGUCACUUAAAACUUGGUAUUGAUUCACCAAAUAAACAACAAUUGAUGAGUGUCAGCAACAUCUGUGAACUCAUCAAUAGCAAAGAAAAGCCACUCAAAGGCCUUUGCUAUAAAAAAAAUAAUAAGGCAAAUUGAUUACCGAUGCUGUUUCCAAGGUCCUCAGCUCUUCAAGUAAUCGUUCUGGGCAAAAGGCUAAUCGUAUUAAACAAGUUUGUUUUGUUGCCUUUCUGUGAGAAAACACUGUGAUGAGUACUUAGUCUGCUGAUGUCAAGAUGUGUGCUUUUAAGCGUGGAUAUAUUGCCAUUGCAUAACAAACACAGUGACUCGCUAUCGAAUUGAAUACAAAACAAUCCAUACUCAAAGUGCCUUAAAAAUGCAGCAUUUGAAGCCUGUUCUUCUUUUGUUCUGUUUUGUUUUGACUUUAAGGUUGUAUGUAAUAGUGAGAUAUAGAUUAAACGCUAUGUUGACGUGCGGGAUUUGGAAUGCUGCCACGUUUUAACUGUGUCGCCACAGUUUGUAGAGUCUCCAGCAGAAGCAUGAAGCAAUGAGUGUCACAUGCAAAUGUCCUCUUCCACCGUGGCUUAAUUUCCCUGCCGUGCAGUGCAAAGCUGCCAGAGACAAAAAACGAAUGAGCGAGGCUGCCUUCCCAUAAACCUGUAUUUAUGAACACUAAAAUUUGAUUUCCUGUGUCAUAAAGUAUUUUUCUUCUGUUGAUGUUUUCAACUAUUUAAAAAUGUAAAGGCCAUCGGAAAUGACAGGCCAUAAGGAGAGGGAGGCAGGCCAGGGGUAGUCCAUGUGCCGUGGUUGCCAGCUAUGUGUUUCUGGCUUGGGAAGCAAAAUCCAGGUGUUUGAUGUUUAUAAGACACAGAAUUAAAACCUAGUGAUAUUGAAAGAUGGACAGUGAAGCAUAAAAAAAGUCAAAUAAUAACCAAAGAAAGCG